GUCGAACGCUUCUUUCCUCCCGAGUGCUUGCACUCAAUUGGAAAGAGGAGUGGCGGACGGGUGAGUAACACGUGGGUAACCUACCCAUCAGAGGGGGAUAACACUUGGAAACAGGUGCUAAUACCGCAUAACAGUUUAUGCCGCAUGGCAUAAGAGUGAAAGGCGCUUUCGGGUGUCGCUGAUGGAUGGACCCGCGGUGCAUUAGCUAGUUGGUGAGGUAACGGCUCACCAAGGCCACGAUGCAUAGCCGACCUGAGAGGGUGAUCGGCCACACUGGGACUGAGACACGGCCCAGACUCCUACGGGAGGCAGCAGUAGGGAAUCUUCGGCAAUGGACGAAAGUCUGACCGAGCAACGCCGCGUGAGUGAAGAAGGUUUUCGGAUCGUAAAACUCUGUUGUUAGAGAAGAACAAGGACGUUAGUAACUGAACGUCCCCUGACGGUAUCUAACCAGAAAGCCACGGCUAACUACGUGCCAGCAGCCGCGGUAAUACGUAGGUGGCAAGCGUUGUCCGGAUUUAUUGGGCGUAAAGCGAGCGCAGGCGGUUUCUUAAGUCUGAUGUGAAAGCCCCCGGCUCAACCGGGGAGGGUCAUUGGAAACUGGGAGACUUGAGUGCAGAAAAGGAGAGUGGAAUUCCAUGUGUAGCGGUGAAAUGCGUAGAUAUAUGGAGGAACACCAGUGGCGAAGGCGGCUCUCUGGUCUGUAACUGACGCUAAGGCUCGAAAGCGUGGGGAGCAAACAGGAUUAGAUACCCU
Molecule: ribosomal RNA, 756 nt
Filed under: Enterococcus faecalis
Lineage: Bacteria; Bacillati; Bacillota; Bacilli; Lactobacillales; Enterococcaceae
Description: bacterial SSU rRNA
Rfam family: Bacterial small subunit ribosomal RNA
Source: RNAcentral